Molecule: ribosomal RNA, 253 nt
Filed under: uncultured bacterium
Lineage: Bacteria
Description: partial 16S ribosomal RNA
Rfam family: Bacterial small subunit ribosomal RNA
Source: RNAcentral
UACAGAGGGGGCAAGCGUUGUUCGGAAUCACUGGGCGUAAAGGGCGUGUAGGCGGUCAGGUAAGUGGGAUGUGAAAUGCCCCGGCUCACCCGGGGACCGGCAUCCCAUACUGCUUGGCUUGAGUACGGGAGAGGAUGUGGGAAUUCCUGGUGUAGCGGUGAAAUGCGUAGAUAUCAGGAGGAACACCGGUGGCGAAGGCGCACAUCUGGCCCGAUACUGACGCUGAGGCGCGAAAGCUAGGGGAGCAAACGGG